Molecule: RNA transcript, 2808 nt
Organism: Loxodonta africana (African savanna elephant)
Lineage: Eukaryota; Metazoa; Chordata; Mammalia; Proboscidea; Elephantidae
Gene: FAM234A
Gene name: family with sequence similarity 234 member A
Exons: 13
Source: RefSeq, a predicted model, not a curated record
CUCGGAAGUGACGUAAGGGAGCGGGGCCUACAGAGCGCGGCUGGUGGCGCUGGCAGCCGGGAGGGUGCGAGGGCUCGGUGGCAGUGACCAGGAGACAAACUGUGGAAUGUGCACGUGAUGAUGGACAACAAGGAUUUAGAAGCUGAAAUCCACCCCUUGAAGAAUGAGGACCGGACAUCGCAGGAGAACCUGGGGAACCGCACUGAAAAGGAAGACCCCUGUAAGAGCCUGCCUCCACAGUCCCAGCUAUCCCGGUGCCGGACAGUGGCAUUUUUUCUCUCCCUGUUUAUCUGCCUUUUUGUGGUGUUUGUCGUCUCAUUCAUCAUCCCGUGUCCAGACCGGCCUGUAUCACAGCAAAUGUGGAGAAUCAAUUACGACACAGCAGUCACCUAUGAUUUUCUGGCUAUGAAAGACAUAAACAGGGACAGGAUCCAAGACAUUCUCUUUCUUUAUAAAAAUGCCAACAGCAGCAACAAUUUCAACCUGUCCUGCGCCGAUGAAGGCUUCUCCUCUCCCUGUACCUUUGCGGCUGCUGUGUCGGGAGCCAACGGCAGCCUACUCUGGGAGAGGCCUGUGGCACAGGAUGUGACUGUCAUGCAGUGCACUGGACCCCAGCAGAGGGCCAGUGGGGCCUUGUCAGCCUGUGUCCUUGUGGGCGGACCCGGAUCUGUCAUCGCAGUGGACCCCUUCACAGGGGAAACCCUGUGGAGCCAUCCCGGCAGCCUUGGGAGGAACGUGUCCAUCCUGAGUCUGCUGCUCGGGGUGCCUGAUGUCAACAACGAUGGGCUCCCCGACCUGCUGGUCCUCACCAGGGAGGAAAAGGAGGUGAACGGCUACGUCUACUCGGGCAGCACUGGGAGUCAGGUUGGCCGCAAAGGCAGCCUCGGCACAGACGGAGAGGGUGGCUCGCUCCUGCAUGUCACCAGGACGGGCGCCCACUACCUCCUCUUUCCCUGUGCACAUUCUCUCUGUGGCUGGUCCAUGAAGAGUCUCUUUGAGGAGAUGACAGGGAAAGAGAGCCUCCUCAAGAAGGACCCACUGUGGGAGCGUGCCAUCAAUGCCACCACCCACAGGGUGUCCUCACCCAGGUUGAUCUGCAUGCUUGUGUCUGCCACCAUAUGCCCAGAUUGGAGAUGGGGCAAGCCCAGGGUCCAGUGGAGCAGCUCCGGAGCCAUCCGCUACCAGAUGCAUGUCCCUGGGAGAGCUGGCAACGAUCUGCUCCUCGUGGGCUCUGAGGCCUGUGUGCUGCUGGAUGGACAGGACCUCGCACCCAGGUGGACCCUCGGCAACACCCAGGUCUUCAGAAAACCCGUCCUCGGUCACUACAAACCAGAUACCUUGUCAGUGGUCAUUGAAAAUGGAACUGGCAUCAACAGACAGAUCUUGCUCCUGGACCUCAGCACCGGGGUCAUCCUGUGGCACCAGCCCCUCCCAGGCUUCCCUGGGGGCCCCCCGUCUGCCAACCUGCCAACCGCAGACCACCGCUCAGCAUUCUUCUUCUGGGGCCUCCCUGAGGGGGUUGGCGCAAAUCAGACGGAGACCAGGAACACCCCACACAGCCUCUACAUGUUCCACCCCACCCUACCCAGCAUCCUUCUGGAGCUGGCCAACAUCUCCACAAACAUCGUUGCUUUUGAAGCCAUCCUGUUUGAGCCGAGCCGCCACGCUGCCUACAUCCUACUGACGGGCCCGGAGAGCCCGGCUGAGCCUGGCCUGGUCUCAGUGACCAAGCACAAGGUGCGGGACCACAUCCCAGAUAGCAGAGUCGUGCACCUGGGCCAGGACCGGGCUGACAGCGACCAGGCCAUCAGGGACCGCUUCUCCCGGCUGCGGUACCAGAGCGAGGCAUGAUGCUGCUUCCAGAAUUAAACCUCCAGAAAGUCAGCUUCACGGUCUUCAGAACUGCUCUGCCAUUCCAGCUGUGGCAGCACUGCCACAAGGCUCACUACCUUGCUGUCCUCCCCACCCUGGGGGCCAUGUCCGCGCUAUGUGGGGAAGGGGACACUAGGGCCCACUGUCCUUUCCCCCCUCCUGGAGGAUCGUGCUGGCCCUGAUUGGGGAUCACUUCCAAGGCCUGCAGAGUGGGGAAUCCUGCAGUACCCUACCUACCCUUGUCCUUGCAGCUUCUCUGCAGGCCAAAGCCACUCUCAUAGGGGGCCCCAGGCGUCCCCAGGCAAGUCCUGCUGAGGCUCCUCCUCCCCUUUCCCUCAGCACCACCCCAGGGGUCACAGAGCCAAGUGGCUCCGCCUCUGCAGGUAGUCCUUUGGGCGUGGUCUCUAGAUGACUCAGCCCCAGCCUCCCCACAGCAAGGUACCUCUACCGUGGCAGGGGUCACUGCACGGAUGGCCUCUCUGAUCCGGCCUGUGAGGGGGCAUCGGAGAGGCAGUCUCUGUCACAUGAGUGGGCCCCCCUCCCACUGCACACCAGUGGCUGAAGCCGUGGCCUGCACCACUGUGCCCCUCACAGGUCUGUCCCUCCUUGGUGCUCGCCACUGGAGCCAGGCUGCCUGAUGCAGGACUCACCUCUGUGCCUUGUGUUCCAGGCUGAGGGCAGCUGUGUGAGCUCAGCCCCCCUGGACUUCCUCGGGCCUCGCUUUGGGACCAGAGCAGCCCAACCGCCAGACACCGCAAGAAACCAGUGAAUAAACAUGUGCACUGUCCUGUGCAGAAGCCUCAGGGCAGGGGUGCACAGACUGUGAUACCCUGUGUGAAGCCUCAUCGCUCCACAUGCAGCUUUGUGAGCACAGCGACCCUGGGAGGGUCAGGGGUCACUGCCCGACCCCCCAGGCCGCAGCAUACCUCAGUCCCC